RNAcentral lists this ribosomal RNA (433 nucleotides) under uncultured bacterium. Its description in RNAcentral is "partial 16S ribosomal RNA". It matches the Rfam family "Bacterial small subunit ribosomal RNA", at positions 29 to 507 of the family's 1533-position model. The record is from RNAcentral.
AACGAACGCUGGCGGCAUGCCUAACACAUGCAAGUCGAACGAGACCUUCGGGUCUAGUGGCGCACGGGUGCGUAACGCGUGGGAACCUGCCCUUAGGUUCGGAAUAACUCCCCGAAAGGGGUGCUAAUACCGGAUAAUGUCUUCGGACCAAAGGUUUAUCGCCUUUGGAUGGGCCCGCGUUGGAUUAGCUAGUUGGUAGGGUAAAAGCCUACCAAGGCGACGAUCCAUAGCUGGUCUGAGAGGAUGAUCAGCCACACUGGGACUGAGACACGGCCCAGACUCCUACGGGAGGCAGCAGUGGGGAAUAUUGGACAAUGGGCGAAAGCCUGAGCCAGCAAUGACGCGUGAGUGAUGAAGGCGUUAGGGUUGUAAAGCUCUUUUACCCGGGACGAUAAUGACAGUACCGGGAGAAUAAGCUCCGGCUAACUCCGUG